Molecule: ribosomal RNA, 497 nt
Filed under: uncultured bacterium
Lineage: Bacteria
Description: partial 16S ribosomal RNA
Rfam family: Bacterial small subunit ribosomal RNA
Source: RNAcentral
GAUGAACGCUGGCGGCGUGCUUAAUACAUGCAAGUCGGGCGAACGGACGAGAAGUUUGCUUUUCUGAUGUUAGCGGCGGACGGGUGAGUAACACGUGGAUCACCCCCUUAUAUGACUGGGAUAACUUCGGGAAACCGGAGCUAAUACCGGAUAAUAUCUUGAACCGCAUGGUUCAAAAGAGAAAGACGGUCUUGCUGUCACUUAUAGAUGGAUUCGCGCUGCAUUAGCUAGUUGGUAAGGUAAAGGCUUACCAAGGGAACGAUGCAUAGCCGACCUGAGAGGGUGAUAGGCCACACGGGAGCGGAGACACGGUCCAGACUCCUACGGGAGGCAGCAGUAGGGAAUCGUCCGCAGUGGGCGAAAACCUGGCGGAACAGCGCGGCGUGGGUGGUAGAGGUGUUGGGUUCGUAAAGCUCGGUUAUUGGGGGAAAGCAUCUGUGUAAGUAGCUGUACACAGCUUGACGGUACCUGAUCAGAAAGCCACGGCUAACUACGUG